This 112-nucleotide non-coding RNA is filed under the name Schinkia azotoformans LMG 9581. RNAcentral describes it as "Bacillus azotoformans LMG 9581 SAM riboswitch aptamer (S box leader)". It matches the Rfam family "SAM riboswitch aptamer (S box leader)". Rfam says of the family: The SAM riboswitch is found upstream of a number of genes which code for proteins involved in methionine or cysteine biosynthesis in Gram-positive bacteria. The SAM riboswitch acts at the level of transcription termination control. Lineage: Bacteria; Bacillati; Bacillota; Bacilli; Caryophanales; Bacillaceae. The record is from Rfam by way of RNAcentral.
ACCUUAUCCAGAGAAGGGGAGAGACUGGCUCUAUGAUCCUUCAGCAACCUUGCAGCCAUGCAAAAGGUGCUAACUCCAGUAACAAGUUGUAUAACUUGUUAGAAGAUAAGGA